CUCGGGUCUAUCUAUUCUGUAACAUUACUCUGGCAAGGGAGUCAGUUUGACCCUGGAGCAUGGCCACUGUGCCUUGGAUGCUCAUCAAAUCUUGUUCAUUUGUAGAAUAAGGGGACAGGCCUUACUGGUUGUUUUCUCUUGUCUUGGGGUAAUCAUCCAUUGAGCUAAGGCGAAAACCACAUCUAGCAGGAGAGUAGGAAGCAAAACCCAAGUUGGACAAUACAAUAUCAAGCAUGUACACAAGCUGAAAUAGAAGGAUAAGCAGCCUGAAAAAGGCACAAAAAUCAAGGAGAGCAAUGCACUGAGGAUCUCCUCACAAUGACCAUGAGAAUUGAAGUCUGAACUCAAAUACAAAGGGACUCUUCUAGAAAUGUUUUGCUUGGUAAACAUCCAGUUGACCCACCUUAUGAUCAUGGACAACCAGAUACCUGUGUUCGCUCCUCUGCAGCUCACCCACCCUCACCACGGAGAUCCUUCCUAGCAGGUCCUCCAGGUGCCAAUCACUUGGCAAGGUGUGCACUUCCCGGUUCACGUUAAAGCUCUGCCAAGUGGAGUCAACACUCAGCGAUGCCCAGUUCACGUCAGCAGCCGUCUAAGAUGUGUCAGGCAGGCUCUUGAUACACUGGAACAAAACAAACUGUACUUUGCAUCCAAAAUAACUGGUCAUCGUAAUGCUGACAUGGAAUUUCCCUGAAUUUCACCCUAAUGGAAUUAGCCAAGCUGUAUCAUGCGAGAAAGCAUAGAAUAGGUACCUAUGUGGUGAUGUAACGUUAAAAAUUAAUUAU
Long non-coding RNA from Chinchilla lanigera (long-tailed chinchilla), 785 nucleotides. RefSeq lists it as uncharacterized. The transcript has 3 exons. The record is from RefSeq and is a predicted model, not a curated record. NCBI's taxonomy places the organism in Eukaryota, Metazoa, Chordata, Mammalia, Rodentia, Chinchillidae.